This is a long non-coding RNA of Pocillopora damicornis (cauliflower coral), 554 nucleotides long. RefSeq lists it as uncharacterized. The record is from RefSeq and is a predicted model, not a curated record. NCBI's taxonomy places the organism in Eukaryota, Metazoa, Cnidaria, Anthozoa, Scleractinia, Pocilloporidae.
GUGUGAAUUAACCAAACGAAAACAACAUGGUAGACAUCUUUGGAGACGAGCAAACAUUUUACUUCGCUUUUUUUACUUUCACACUAGCCACGAUUGUGGCUGCUUUUAUCCUUUCUAGGUUUAUAACUCUCAACCCAUCGUAUCACAACUAAAAGAGUCUCAAACUGCCAGAAGAUGAAAUUAGCUGCACACAAGGAAUCUGCAGAUACAUGUAAAGAUAUUCCUCGCCGGUAUAGCAGAUAUCAUUGAAAGAACUGUGUUGUCCCUCUACAAGGAGAAAUAUCCUGAAAGAAUUUAGCAAUAUAACUAAUUAGAUGCAUGUAUUAUACUUCAUGGUUCAGUUCAGUUCUUGUCUGUCGAUAUGAUAGGAAAUAAGACUCUAAAGAAAAGUAUUCCUCAGUCUUGCAAGAACAUGUCUACAGCUCUAAGUGGAUAACAUAGAUUGUUUUGCUUAUGGUAUAUUGUAAAAAUUGAAAAUUUAUUUAUUUACAUUGCACAAGUUGUAUUUAAAACCUUGUUUGUGGCUAUCAAUAAAAAUAGUGUUCAAAGUGUAA